AACUGUUAAAUUCAAUACUAUUAAUUACUUAGCAAACUCUUCUACUUUGUAAUAAAUAAAAAACAAUAAUAUUUAUUAUUUUACCUUUGUUCUUUCCUUGGAGUAAAAGAAAGGUAUUGUUUGUUAAUUAAAGAAAAACAAAAAAAAUUAAACAAGCAUUUAUGAAGUGUUUGGUGACACGAAAGCGACAUGUAUAUUGGGUUCGAGGGCUUUGGGAUUUUGGUCCUGUAAUUAUCCUAAUUUUAGUUUUGGAUAUAGAAAAAUU
This 265-nucleotide long non-coding RNA is filed under the name Capsella rubella. RNAcentral's name for it is "long non-coding RNA (CRUB_LNC005144)". Lineage: Eukaryota; Viridiplantae; Streptophyta; Magnoliopsida; Brassicales; Brassicaceae. The record is from RNAcentral.